AAUUCUAAGACUUCAGGCAUCGUGUCUAUAGUUCAUUACUAGAGAAGCUUCUCUGAUUGUGUGGAGCACGGGAAACCACGAGGAGAAGGCGUAGCAUUCUCUCCUGAGCUUGAAGUUGGCUCUUGGUGUUGCUAUAACUUCCAUUUGCCAUGGAUGGUCACGCUUGUUUUCCUUCUGUAGAGCAAGAGGAAGAGGACACAGUCUGAGUGGA
This 211-nucleotide small nucleolar RNA is filed under the name Carlito syrichta (Philippine tarsier). Its description in RNAcentral is "Small nucleolar RNA U3 (ENSTSYG00000020170.2)". It matches the Rfam family "Small nucleolar RNA U3". Rfam says of the family: Small nucleolar RNAs (snoRNAs) are involved in the processing and modification of rRNA in the nucleolus. There are two main classes of snoRNAs: the box C/D class, and the box H/ACA class. The record is from Rfam by way of RNAcentral. Lineage: Eukaryota; Metazoa; Chordata; Mammalia; Primates; Tarsiidae.